CAAGCACCUCGGGAUCCCAUUCCUUCACAGGGACCCUAGCCAGUUAAAGCUGAUACAUUCCUGUGGGUCAACUAUGCAACUAACUCAGAUUUUGAGCAAACAAAGCUCUCAAGUUGGUGAUCCUCAGGAGUCUCUGCAUUAGUUGGACAGCUCUUCUGGAAUUAUCUUCUAAGUCAACUGUGGGUUGGGUAGGUGGCUCUGCUGAUUUUUCGCUGGACUUCCACAUUUGGGACGAGUUGGCUGUCAUCAGCUCUAGAAAGGGUGUGGCCGUUUUACAUUGGCUGUUUUCCUCACAUUCCUCAAGCAGGUAAGCUUAAUCAUGUUCUCAUAUUGAAGCAGAAACUGUUUACUCAUUUAUCUAUUUACUUACUGGGUCUCCUGGGCACUAGGUACUGUAAUAAAGAACUGGAGAAAUACAGUCAGAUGGGAAGUAGCCCUUGCUGUCAAGGAGCUUGCCAUCUAAUGGGGGAGACAGAUAACUGAUACCGUGCUUCCAGAAGAUUUUUCUAACAGUGUUUGCAAGCUAUAAAAUAGUGCUUUCACUUAGAAAAGGCUAGACGUGGUGGUUCAUGCCUGUAAUCCCAGCACUUUGAGAGGCCGAG
This 602-nucleotide long non-coding RNA is filed under the name Homo sapiens (human). RNAcentral describes it as "non-protein coding CCDC18-AS1:17". Lineage: Eukaryota; Metazoa; Chordata; Mammalia; Primates; Hominidae. The record is from RNAcentral.